ACAGGCUUCAAACUCGACCUGUUUGAUUAUAAAUGAGAAUAAUGAUAAUAAUGUUUGCUCGGUGGUUUGGCAGCGACAGCUCUAAAAUGUGUCGAUGUGGAGUUGAGGGUGUUUCGGGCUGUCGCUGUGUUGCAUGCCAUCAGCCCAGCAAUAUAGGACGAUGUUUUACAGUUUUAAAUUUUAUACACAGCUCGAUAAACUGGGAGUAGGUCUUGAAGGUUUCUGUACUUAUCAUUUUUUUUUGUUUGAAAGUUUUAUUGUCUCGUCGUAUUAAUAUACUCAGAUGAUUUCAAC
Molecule: small RNA, 294 nt
Filed under: Oryza sativa Japonica Group (Japanese rice)
Lineage: Eukaryota; Viridiplantae; Streptophyta; Magnoliopsida; Poales; Poaceae
Description: misc RNA OsGELP74
Source: RNAcentral